GGGCCUAUAGCUCAGUCGGUUAGAGCACACGCCUGAUAAGCGUGAGGUCGGUGGUUCAAAUCCAUUUAGGCCCA
RNAcentral lists this transfer RNA (74 nucleotides) under 'Crotalaria juncea' phytoplasma L32. RNAcentral's name for it is "tRNA-Ile". It matches the Rfam family "tRNA". Rfam says of the family: Transfer RNA (tRNA) molecules are approximately 80 nucleotides in length. Their secondary structure includes four short double-helical elements and three loops (D, anti-codon, and T loops). The record is from RNAcentral. Lineage: Bacteria; Bacillati; Mycoplasmatota; Mollicutes; Acholeplasmatales; Acholeplasmataceae.